Molecule: long non-coding RNA, 866 nt
Organism: Osmerus eperlanus (European smelt)
Lineage: Eukaryota; Metazoa; Chordata; Actinopteri; Osmeriformes; Osmeridae
Exons: 2
Source: RefSeq, a predicted model, not a curated record
UUCAAAACCCCCCAGGUCAACCUGUGUCCUGUGUCUCAGUAUAUAAAACCCUUCAGGACAGACCACACUUCAGUACUUUCAUCCUCUGUGGAGGAACUGUGUCAUCACUGCCACCUGAGACAGCGUUUGAAGCUUGCUUCAGAUUCAGAUUACAGAUUGACCCUGCCAGCUGGUGGUACAGUACUAUCACAAGGGAUCUUUCUUGUUAGAAAACUGUUGUCAUGGCGAAGUUAAUUCAUGUCCUGGUUCCUCUCCUUCUGCUAUUGGCUGUGGGUGUCCAGUCCGUGCCAACCAUACGAGUCAUCGAAAAUUUAAACGAUUUAUCGCAGCGAUUCAGAAGUCAACAACACCACGGAUAUUUGCUGCUCCAGUGGUAUGUGAAUGAAUGUUUAAACAAUGACAUGACCCUAAAAACUACAUGUACCCCUCAAAGCCAGAAUUUCGACCAUUACGGUUUUCAUGAAUUCUACAAUAACGGAAAUCCAGACCACCCCAGAAUUCUGCCUGUCCUGACUGGCCGAAGAUACUACACGGUUGGAAACCUACGUUUGGGUUCUCUACUGCCUCAUGCAGUGUCCAGGUACUGGGGAGAGCACCGUCAUAAUGAUAUCUUCAACAGGGACAGGCUGGUGAUGAGUCUUAACCCCAUAACCAACACCGUUGGUGAGAUAUACAUCUCAGAUCACUACAGCGCAGCCAGCACAUUCCAAGUCGGCCGCAACGUGAUCACCGCCCUCAGUGGGCUUGGACGUCCGAUGGGAUGAAGAUUGAAGACUUCAAGCCUGCCACUGUGCUAAGAAACAGACAGUUCACCACAGUGAUUGUAUGAAUCAUAUUUGUUCAUUAAACAUCUGAUGUGGAUCAGA